UUGCUCCCCGUCCAGAAUAGAUCCCAUUAAUGUUUGCUGCCAAUCUGGACAGAUGGACGGAUUUGUUUUUGUUCAUCUCUGAGGAAAUAAUGCACGGAUCUUCAUGAAGACAAAUCAGGGUGAUGACUGGCAUAUUUAAUAUGAGGACGAGGGCAGCUGCAAUAAAGCAGGUGAUCCUGGCAGUGGCUGACGAAGAAGCUGACAGGGUCCUCUGGUGGAAGCUUUGAUAUCCCAGGAACUUUGGAGGGCCUGGAGGAGAAUAUCGGACUUGGAUUUGAAUUUUUGCUGAGGUGAAGAGACCAAAGUGGACAUUGACGGAGGAGGUGGAGAAAAGAAAAAAAGAGAGGGACCAAGCAGGAGGAUGAACUAGAGUACAUCUCAGACUGGGUGGCGGGAGCGUUUGGGAACUACAAGGCUGCAAGACUGCAAGAUGCCGAACUUGACUUGUUGCUGUUGAAUGGGGGCCUGGUAGGUGAAGUUGAAAGCGGUCUUGGUGAUGUCAGCUGAAUGGGGGUUCGUCAGGAUGAAGGGGACACAUAACCACUGCAGAAAAGACAAAGAAGGUUUCAGUGGCUAAGGGCAAGGAAUAAUUAACAACUGUCACUUCUCUCAGAGAAAACCAGACCCUGGUUCCUGUACCCGUGACUUUGACUCAGAAAUGUCCCCAAUGUUUUGACACUUCAUUCCUUGAGGAGACCACUUAAUUCAAGUAUCAGGUUUCCAGAGCAUUUUAUUAUAGUUUCAUGUAGAAUGCGCUGUUCUCUCAUGACUGUUCAGUCUAGACCGUAAAUACAAAGUUCACUUGCACUUACUAUACUGGUUUUGAGCACCUGCACAUGUAUGAAUUCUCUCACAUACAUACCUAUAUAUUUGCACUUGCACACACAAGUAUUCUCAGUAGUGUUUAUGCAUGUAUGUGUAAGUUCAGCAUGUAUGUAUGUUAGUAUGAAUAUUUUUCUUUUAAAGUAAAUCUCAAAGCUGA
Molecule: long non-coding RNA, 982 nt
Organism: Acanthopagrus latus (yellowfin seabream)
Lineage: Eukaryota; Metazoa; Chordata; Actinopteri; Spariformes; Sparidae
Exons: 5
Source: RefSeq, a predicted model, not a curated record